This 468-nucleotide ribosomal RNA is filed under the name uncultured bacterium. Its description in RNAcentral is "partial 16S ribosomal RNA". It matches the Rfam family "Bacterial small subunit ribosomal RNA", at positions 28 to 507 of the family's 1533-position model. The record is from RNAcentral.
GACGAACGCUGGCGGCGUGCUUAACACAUGCCAGUCGAACGGAAAGGCCCUGCUUUUGUGGGGUGCUCGAGUGGCGAACGGGUGAGUAACACGUGAGUAACCUGCCCUUGACUUUGGGAUAACUUCAGGAAACUGGGGCUAAUACCGGAUAGGAGCUCCUGCUGCAUGGUGGGGGUUGGAAAGUUUCGGCGGUUGGGGAUGGACUCGCGGCUUAUCAGCUUGUUGGUGGGGUAGUGGCUUACCAAGGCUUUGACGGGUAGCCGGCCUGAGAGGGUGACCGGCCAAAUUGGGACUGAGAGACGGCCGAGACUCCUACGGGAGGCAGCAGUGGGGAGUAUUGCACAAUGGGCGGAAGCCUGAUGCAGCAACGCCGCGUGCGGGAUGACGGCCUUCGGGUUGUAAACCGCUUUCGCCUGUGACGAAGCGGGAGUGACGGUAAUGGGUAAAGAAGCACCGGCUAACUACGUG